Molecule: transfer RNA, 73 nt
Filed under: Anaerolineae bacterium
Lineage: Bacteria; Bacillati; Chloroflexota; Anaerolineae
Description: tRNA-Ile
Rfam family: tRNA
About the family: Transfer RNA (tRNA) molecules are approximately 80 nucleotides in length.
Source: RNAcentral
GGGUCAGUAGUUCAAUGGUUAGAACAGCGGCCUCAUAAGUCGUCGGCUGUCGGUUCGAGUCCGACCUGACCCA